This 718-nucleotide long non-coding RNA is filed under the name Mus musculus (house mouse). RNAcentral's name for it is "RIKEN cDNA 1700023F02 gene, transcript variant 5 (1700023F02Rik)". The record is from RNAcentral. Lineage: Eukaryota; Metazoa; Chordata; Mammalia; Rodentia; Muridae.
AGCACAUCCUUUGUACUCAUUUAGAAACGUAACUCUGAAUUUCUCUGUCUCUGCAAAGGGGUAAUUCCUGGGUGUUCUUCAGUGGUGAGUGAAGGCAUUUUUGCACAUGCUAUCGGAUGAACUGAGUCUAGAAUUUUGGUGAGACAUAUUUGAUACCGAAAAAAGUGAACCCCAGGAGAGGGCUCCAAGCUUCAGCUCUUGUCUGAGACUGUCCUGCACUGUGGCUGUAUGAUUACCAUAGCCCUUGACUUCUGAAUGGCAAAUGGCACCUGAAAGAGAAAUCACUAAGUCACAGGGUCGGCUCCAUCCUACUCCUCUAUACUAUACAGAUGUCAGUCACCUUUUGUCCGUGACCUUGUGCCUCAGAUGGAGCUUUAAACGUCGUUGACUUUCUGCUUGCUUCUCUGCUUACUGAGAGAAUGUUGACUCUUCAGCCUUCUGCAGUGUUUGCCCCAAAACUGAUUGCUGGAUUCCUCACCUGUGAUAAAGCCACAAUGUAAGGUUCCAGGUGGCCACACUUAUUUGGAGACACCAUUUAACACGGUUCUGCUUCUACUUCCAUGAGAACCUAGUGAAGAAGACACAGCCAGAGCUUUGAUCAAAGAUUCCAAAUGCAAAUACAACUAACCACCCAACUGGUCCCAUCAGCCAAUGUAUCUCUUUGUUACCUCAAGGGAGAUUGAUUUACGCUUUCAUCAAUAAAUCUUCAUAUUUUCAA